This 448-nucleotide ribosomal RNA is filed under the name uncultured bacterium. Its description in RNAcentral is "bacterial SSU rRNA". It matches the Rfam family "Bacterial small subunit ribosomal RNA", at positions 29 to 521 of the family's 1533-position model. The record is from RNAcentral.
AACGAACGCUGGCGGCAGGCUUAACACAUGCAAGUCGAACGCGUGUAGCAAUACACGAGUGGCGCACGGGUGAGUAACGCGUGGAUAUCUGCCUUUUGGUUCGGAAUAACUCCGGGAAACUGGAGCUAAUACCGGAUGGUUCCUACGGGAUAAAGAUUUAUCGCCAAAAGAUGAGUCCGCGUACGAUUAGCUAGUUGGUGAGGUAAUGGCUCACCAAGGCGACGAUCGUUAGCUGGUCUGAGAGGACGAUCAGCCACACUGGGACUGAGACACGGCCCAGACUCCUACGGGAGGCAGCAGUGGGAAUAUUGGACAAUGGGGGCAACCCUGAUCCAGCCAUGCCGCGUGAGUGAUGAAGGCCUUGGGUUGUAAAGCUCUUUGGUCGGGACGGAUGAUGACGGUACCCGCAGAAUAAGCCCCCGGCUAACUUCGUGCCAGCAGCCGCGGU